AACGAACGCUGGCGGCGGGCCUCAUACAUGCAAGUCGAGCGCGAAAGUCCGCAAGGAUGAGUAAAGCGGCGCACGGGUGAGUAACACGUGGGUAAUCUACCUUUUGGAUUGGAAUAACCUGUCGAAAGACGGGCUAAUGCCGAGUAAGCCUUCUUGAACGUGAAGUUCGAGACGGGAAAGAUGGCGCAAGCUAUCGCCGAAAGAUGAGCCUGCGUCCCAUUAGUUAGUUGGUGGGGUAAUGGCUUACCAAGACAAUGAUGGGUACCUGGUUUGAGAGAAUGAUCAGGCACACUGGAACUGAAACACGGUCCAGACUCCUACGGGAGGCAGCAGUAGGGAAUAUUGCGCAAUGGACGAAAGUCUGACGCAGCCACGCCGCGUGAGUGAGGAAGGCCUCGGGUUGUAAAGCUCUGUCGGCGUGGGAAAACGGACUAGUCCGGGGAAAGGUUCGGGUAGCGUGAUGGUACC
RNAcentral lists this ribosomal RNA (468 nucleotides) under uncultured bacterium. RNAcentral describes it as "bacterial SSU rRNA". It matches the Rfam family "Bacterial small subunit ribosomal RNA", at positions 29 to 479 of the family's 1533-position model. The record is from RNAcentral.